UACGUAUGGUGCAAGCGUUAUCCGGAUUUACUGGAUGUAAAGGGAGCGCAGGCGGCACGGCAAGCCUGAUGUGAAAGCCCGCGGCCCAACCGCGGGACUGCAUUGGGAACUACCGGGCUGGAGUGCCGGAGAGGUAGGCGGAAUUCCUAGUGUAGCGGUGAAAUGCGUAGAUAUUAGGAGGAACACCAGUGGCGAAGGCGGCCUACUGGACGGUGACUGACGCUGAGGCUCAAAAGCGUGGGGAGCAAACAGG
RNAcentral lists this ribosomal RNA (253 nucleotides) under uncultured bacterium. RNAcentral's name for it is "partial 16S ribosomal RNA". It matches the Rfam family "Bacterial small subunit ribosomal RNA", at positions 524 to 776 of the family's 1533-position model. The record is from RNAcentral.